GUGGGGAAUAUUGGACAAUGGGCGAAAGCCUGAUCCAGCCAUGCCGCGUGUGUGAAGAAGGCCUUUUGGUUGUAAAGCACUUUAAGCGAGGAGGAGGCUACUUGGAUUAAUACUCUAGGAUAGUGGACGUUACUCGCAGAAUAAGCACCGACUAACUCUGUGCCAGCAGCCGCGGUAAUACAGAGGGUGCGAGCGUUAAUCGGAUUUACUGGGCGUAAAGCGUGCGUAGGCGGCUUUUUAAGUCGGAUGUGAAAUCCCUGAGCUUAACUUAGGAAUUGCAUUCGAUACUGGGGAGCUAGAGUAUGGGAGAGGAUGGUAGAAUUCCAGGUGUAGCGGUGAAAUGCGUAGAGAUCUGGAGGAAUACCGAUGGCGAAGGCAGCCAUCUGGCCUAAUACUGACGCUGAGGUACGAAAGCAUGGGGAGCAAACAGGAUUAGAUACCCGGGUAGUCC
Molecule: ribosomal RNA, 451 nt
Filed under: uncultured bacterium
Lineage: Bacteria
Description: partial 16S ribosomal RNA
Rfam family: Bacterial small subunit ribosomal RNA
Source: RNAcentral